Paramuricea clavata is the source of this 346-nucleotide non-coding RNA. The record is from the annotation of a GenBank genome assembly. NCBI's taxonomy places the organism in Eukaryota, Metazoa, Cnidaria, Anthozoa, Malacalcyonacea, Plexauridae.
AGCCAUCUAUCAUUAUGUAAAAGUACAACAACUGGAUGAUAUCAACGAGACUCGGCGAUAAAAAGCAAACAAGACGGCAAAGUAUGGCUGAAAUUGUGUUUUCGUGGGGGGUGAGUGAAUUAAAAUGUAUUAUAUUUAAAGAAAACAAUGACAAUCCUUAUGAAAACCAGAAUAAUUAUAUUAAAUUAAGCAUAGUUUUUCAUUCCAUGAUAAUUUUCUUUAGGAAAUAAGAACAUUAAAUUUCUGCCAGGCAUAUCAGUUAUUUUGUGCAUAAUCAGCAAUUUACCUGGGGUUGUGAAUAGUCAUUUUCUAGUAAAAUAUUAUACUUAGACAAAUUUUUCCUUCC